CCUACGGGUGGCUGCAGUGAGGAAUAUUGGUCAAUGGACGAGAGUCUGAACCAGCCAAGUAGCGUGAAGGAUGUCUGCCCUAUGGGUUGUAAACUUCUUUUAUAUGGGAAUAAAAUGUUCCACGUGUGGGAUUUUGUAUGUACCAUAUGAAUAAGGAUCGGCUAACUUCGUGCCAGCAGCCGCGGUAAUACGGAGGAUCUGAGCGUUAUCCGGAUUUAUUGGGUUUAAAGGGAGCGUAGGUGGAUUGUUAAGUCAGUUGUGAAAGUUUGCGGCUCAACCGUAAAAUUGCAGUUGAAACUGGCAGUCUUGAGUACAGUAGAGGUGGGCGGAAUUCGUGGUGUAGCGGUGAAAUGCUUAGAUAUCACGAAGAACUCCGAUUGCGAAGGCAGUUCACUGGACUGCAACUGACACUGAGGCUCGAAAGUGUGGGUAUCAAACAGGAUUAGAUACCCGGGUAGUC
This 460-nucleotide ribosomal RNA is filed under the name uncultured bacterium. RNAcentral describes it as "partial 16S ribosomal RNA". It matches the Rfam family "Bacterial small subunit ribosomal RNA", at positions 338 to 795 of the family's 1533-position model. The record is from RNAcentral.